This is a long non-coding RNA of Perca fluviatilis (European perch), 302 nucleotides long. RefSeq lists it as uncharacterized. The record is from RefSeq and is a predicted model, not a curated record. The transcript has 3 exons. Lineage: Eukaryota; Metazoa; Chordata; Actinopteri; Perciformes; Percidae.
GGCUCAGAUUAGAACCCAAAUUGAAACGUGACUGGCUCAUCCUCUGGCAAAACACACAGUGUGGAUCCACUCAUCUCCUGCAGUACUGCAUCUAUCCUAAACUCCACCAAGUCAUUUACCCUGUCCAUCAACAGCUCCAGGUCAACUGGAGAGACAAGAGAAAGAGAGCGACACAGACCAACAGGAGGAGGAGAAAAAGAAGUUGUCAAGCAUUGGAAGAAGGGUGUCCUGUUUCUGCUGCAACAAAGCAGCGAAUGGCGGGAUCUCCAAAUGCAUCCUUGUCAUGCAGUUUGCCUCCCUGA